GCCGCUAUAGCUCAGUUGGUAGAGCGCGGCACUAGUACUUCUACUAGAUCAUGCCGAGGUCUACGGUUCAAAUCCGUAUGGUGGCA
Hortaea werneckii EXF-2000 is the source of this 86-nucleotide non-coding RNA. The record is from Rfam. NCBI's taxonomy places the organism in Eukaryota, Fungi, Ascomycota, Dothideomycetes, Mycosphaerellales, Teratosphaeriaceae.